This 1011-nucleotide ribosomal RNA is filed under the name Dunaliella tertiolecta. RNAcentral describes it as "partial Bacterial small subunit ribosomal RNA". It matches the Rfam family "Bacterial small subunit ribosomal RNA", at positions 522 to 1532 of the family's 1533-position model. Lineage: Eukaryota; Viridiplantae; Chlorophyta; Chlorophyceae; Chlamydomonadales; Dunaliellaceae. The record is from RNAcentral.
AAUACAGGGGGAGCAAGCGUUAUCCGGAAUGAUUGGGCGUAAAGCGUCUGUAGGUGGUUCUUUAAGUCUACUGUCAAAUACGUUGGCUCAACCAACGGCAGGCAGUGGAGUACUAAAGAACUAGAGUGCGGUAGAGGUAGAGGGAAUCCCUAGCGUAACAGUGAAAUGUGUAGAUUUUAGGGAGAACACCAGCGGCGAAGGCGCUCUACUGGGCCGAUACUGACACUGAGAGACGAAAGCUAGAGGAGCGAAUAGGAUUAGAUACCCUAGUAGUUCUAGCUGUAAACGAUGGAAACUAAGAGGGGGUAACCCCCUUCUGUAGCUAACGCGUUAAGUUUCCCGCCUGGGGAGUAUGCUCGCAAGAGUGAAACUCAAAGGAAUUGACGGGAGACCACACAAUAGGUGGAUUAUGCGGUUUAAUUUGAUGCAACGCAAAGAACCUUACCAGGGUUUGACAUGUCUAGAAUUUUUCAGAAAUGGAAAAGUGCUUCCUUUUUAUGAAAGGAAGAACUAGAACACAGGUGGUGCAUGGCUGUCGUCAGCUCGUGCGUUGACGUGUAUGGUUAAGUCCUGCAACGAGCGCAACCCUCGUCUUUAGUUACUUUCCAAGUUCUCUAAAGAGACUGCGCGCGCAAGCGCUGAGGAAGGUGAGGAUGACGUCAAGUCAGCAUGCCCCUUACACCCUGGGCGACACGCGUAAUACAAUGGUUGGGACAAUCAGAAGCUACCCCGCAAGGGCACGCCAAUCUGCUAAACUCAACCCUAGUUCGGAUUGUAGGCUGCAACUCGCCUACAUGAAGCCGGAAUCUAUAGUAAUCGCCAGUCAGCUAUAUGGCGGUGAAUACGUUCCUGGUCUCUGUACACACCGCCCGUCACAUCAAGAAAGGUGGUAGUGGAUUAAGCUACUAGUCUAACCUCUCUGAGGAAGACGGUAUCCACUCCAAGACUACUGAUCAUGAUGAAGUCGUAACAAGGUAGGGGUACUGGAAGGUGUCCCUGGAUCACCUCCUU